UUCGGAAAAAAAAUGCAAAAA
Molecule: non-coding RNA, 21 nt
Filed under: Caenorhabditis elegans
Lineage: Eukaryota; Metazoa; Nematoda; Chromadorea; Rhabditida; Rhabditidae
Source: RNAcentral